RNAcentral lists this ribosomal RNA (453 nucleotides) under uncultured bacterium. RNAcentral describes it as "bacterial SSU rRNA". It matches the Rfam family "Bacterial small subunit ribosomal RNA", at positions 328 to 795 of the family's 1533-position model. The record is from RNAcentral.
UUGCCAGACUCCUACGGGAGGCAGCAGUGGGGAAUAUUGGGCAAUGGGCGCAAGCCUGAACCAGCAACGCCGCGUGAAUGAUGAAGGUCUUCGGAUUGUAAAGUUCUUUUCUAAGGGAAGAAGAAAGUGACGGUACCUUAGGAAUAAGCCUCGGCUAACUACGUGCCAGCAGCCGCGGUAAUACGUAGGAGGCGAGCGUUAUCCGGAAUGACUGGGCGUAAAGGGUGCGUAGGUGGUUUGACAAGUUGGUAGCGUAAUUCCGGGGCUCAACCUCGGCGCUACUACCAAAACUGUCGGACUUGAGUGCAGGAGGGGCAAUCGGAAUUCCUAGUGUAGCGGUGGAAUGCGUAGAUAUUAGGAGGAACACCAGUGGCGAAGGCGGAUUGCUAGACUGUAACUGACACUGAGGCACGAAAGCGUGGGGAGCAAACAGGAUUAGAUACCCCCGUACUC